Long non-coding RNA from Microtus oregoni (creeping vole), 252 nucleotides. RefSeq lists it as uncharacterized. The transcript is spliced from 3 exons. NCBI's taxonomy places the organism in Eukaryota, Metazoa, Chordata, Mammalia, Rodentia, Cricetidae. The record is from RefSeq and is a predicted model, not a curated record.
AGGAAGAAUGAUGUCUCAACUAAGGGUAUUUUUAGAGUCUGGCUGUUGGAAAGACGUCAUCUCUCCCUAAGUGGCCUCAAUAACCGCUGUGGUUCGAGCAGUUUCUACAUCCUGUUGCUAAAUGUUCCAGAUCAUCCAGCUCCACAGGCUCCACUGUGUACACACGAGGCCUGGCAGAUGUGCCCUAAUUCCCAGACUGAUGGAGUGCCUGUGGAAUUGUUCGAUUAUACACAUGCUCAUACUUGGCUGGAG